UUUCAAUUUAGUAAAAUUUUGAUCAAGAUAAUCUAUGAGAUGGAUUUGAAAGGUUGAAAUAUAAUGUGGAUGAAGCAAUCUUGAUUGAUAGUUAAUCUGAGACCAUCCUAGAGCAUUUAGAGUCAAAAGAAUGAAUUAUGCGGUAACAUGUGCAUGGAUUCUGAAAUAUUUUUUUAUGAUAUUUUGAUCUAUCUGAAUGUCAAAAAUCAUUGCUAGAUGGUAUCUCAAUUAGUACAGAAAUCGAUUCCUGUGCUACCGGCUU
RNAcentral lists this long non-coding RNA (262 nucleotides) under Elaeis guineensis (African oil palm). RNAcentral describes it as "long non-coding RNA (EGUI_LNC007158)". The record is from RNAcentral. Lineage: Eukaryota; Viridiplantae; Streptophyta; Magnoliopsida; Arecales; Arecaceae.